AGAGUUUGAUCAUGGCUCAGGACGAACGCUGGCGGCGUGCCUAAUACAUGCAAGUAGAACGCUGAAGAGAGGAGCUUGCUCUUCUUGGAUGAGUUGCGAACGGGUGAGUAACGCGUAGGUAACCUGCCUUGUAGCGGGGGAUAACUAUUGGAAACGAUAGCUAAUACCGCAUAACAAUGGAUGACACAUGUCAUUUAUUUGAAAGGGGCAAUUGCUCCACUACAAGAUGGACCUGCGUUGUAUUAGCUAGUAGGUGAGGUAACGGCUCACCUAGGCGACGAUACAUAGCCGACCUGAGAGGGUGAUCGGCCACACUGGGACUGAGACACGGCCCAGACUCCUACGGGAGGCAGCAGUAGGGAAUCUUCGGCAAUGGGGGCAACCCUGACCGAGCAACGCCGCGUGAGUGAAGAAGGUUUUCGGAUCGUAAAGCUCUGUUGUAAGUCAAGAACGAGUGUGAGAGUGGAAAAUUCACACUGUGACGGUAGCUUACCAGAAAGGGACGGCUAACUACGUGCCAGCAGCCGCGGUAAUACGUAGGUCCCGAGCGUUGUCCGGAUUUAUUGGGCGUAAAGCGAGCGCAGGCGGUUUGAUAAGUCUGAAGUUAAAGGCUGUGGCUCAACCAUAGUUCGCUUUGGAAACUGUCAAACUUGAGUGCAGAAGGGGAGAGUGGAAUUCCAUGUGUAGCGGUGAAAUGCGUAGAUAUAUGGAGGAACACCGGUGGCGAAAGCGGCUCUCUGGUCUGUAACUGACGCUGAGGCUCGAAAGCGUGGGGAGCGAACAGGAUUAGAUACCCUGGUAGUCCACGCCGUAAACGAUGAGUGCUAGGUGUUGGAUCCUUUCCGGGAUUCAGUGCCGCAGCUAACGCAUUAAGCACUCCGCCUGGGGAGUACGACCGCAAGGUUGAAACUCAAAGGAAUUGACGGGGGCCCGCACAAGCGGUGGAGCAUGUGGUUUAAUUCGAAGCAACGCGAAGAACCUUACCAGGUCUUGACAUCCCGAUGCUAUUUCUAGAGAUAGAAAGUUACUUCGGUACAUCGGUGACAGGUGGUGCAUGGUUGUCGUCAGCUCGUGUCGUGAGAUGUUGGGUUAAGUCCCGCAACGAGCGCAACCCCUAUUGUUAGUUGCCAUCAUUCAGUUGGGCACUCUAGCGAGACUGCCGGUAAUAAACCGGAGGAAGGUGGGGAUGACGUCAAAUCAUCAUGCCCCUUAUGACCUGGGCUACACACGUGCUACAAUGGUUGGUACAACGAGUUGCGAGUCGGUGACGGCAAGCUAAUCUCUUAAAGCCAAUCUCAGUUCGGAUUGUAGGCUGCAACUCGCCUACAUGAAGUCGGAAUCGCUAGUAAUCGCGGAUCAGCACGCCGCGGUGAAUACGUUCCCGGGCCUUGUACACACCGCCCGUCAA
Molecule: ribosomal RNA, 1408 nt
Filed under: uncultured bacterium
Lineage: Bacteria
Description: bacterial SSU rRNA
Rfam family: Bacterial small subunit ribosomal RNA
Source: RNAcentral